This 497-nucleotide ribosomal RNA is filed under the name uncultured bacterium. Its description in RNAcentral is "partial 16S ribosomal RNA". It matches the Rfam family "Bacterial small subunit ribosomal RNA", at positions 28 to 507 of the family's 1533-position model. The record is from RNAcentral.
GACGAACGCUGGCGGCGUGCCUAAUACAUGCAAGUUGAGCGCUGAAGGUUGGUACUUGUACCAACUGGAUGAGCAGCGAACGGGUGAGUAACGCGUGGGGAAUCUGCCUUUGAGCGGGGGACAACAUUUGGAAACGAAUGCUAAUGCCGCAUAAAAACUUUAAACACAAGUUUUAAGUUUGAAAGAUGCAAUUGCAUCACUCAAAGAUGAUCCCGCGUUGUAUUAGCUAGUUGGCGAGGUAAAGGCUCACCAAGGCGAUGAUACAUAGCCGACCUGAGAGGGUGAUCGGCCACAUUGGGACUGAGACACGGCCCAAACUCCUACGGGAGGCAGCAGUAGGGAAUCUUCGGCAAUGGACGAAAGUCUGACCGAGCAACGCCGCGUGAGUGAAGAAGGUUUUCGGAUCGUAAAACUCUGUUGGUAGAGAAGAACGUUGGUGAGAGUGGAAAGCUCAUCAAGUGACGGUAACUACCCAGAAAGGGACGGCUAACUACGUG